This 497-nucleotide ribosomal RNA is filed under the name uncultured bacterium. RNAcentral describes it as "partial 16S ribosomal RNA". It matches the Rfam family "Bacterial small subunit ribosomal RNA", at positions 28 to 507 of the family's 1533-position model. The record is from RNAcentral.
GAUGAACGCUGGCGGCGUGCCUAAUACAUGCAAGUCGAGCGAACGGACGAGAAGCUUGCUUUUCUGAUGUUAGCGGCGGACGGGUGAGUAACACGUGGAUAACCUACCUAUAAGACUGGGUUAACUUCGGGAAACCGGAGCUAAUACCGGAUAAUAUUUUGAACCGCACGGUUCAAAAGUGAAAGACGGUCUUGCUGUCACCUAUAGAUGGAUCCGCGCUGCAUUAGCUAGUUGGUAAGGUAACGGCUUACCAAGUCAACGAUGCAUAGCCGACCUGAGAGCGUGAUCGGCCACGCUAGAACUGAGACACGGUCCAGACUACUAAGGGGGGAAGCAGUAGGUAAUCUUCCGCAAUGGGCGAAAGCCUGACGGAGCAAAGCCGCGUGAGUGAUGAAGGUCUUCGGUUCGUAAAACUCUGUUAUUAGAGAAGAACAUAUGUGUAAGUAACUGUGCACAUCUUGACGGUACCUAAUCAGAAAGCCACGGCUAACUACGUG